Molecule: ribosomal RNA, 910 nt
Filed under: uncultured bacterium
Lineage: Bacteria
Description: bacterial SSU rRNA
Rfam family: Bacterial small subunit ribosomal RNA
Source: RNAcentral
CAGUCGAACGCACAGCGAAAGGUGCUUGCACCUUUCAAGUGAGUGGCGAACGGGUGAGUAACACGUGGACAACCUGCCUCAAGGCUGGGGAUAACAUUUGGAAACAGAUGCUAAUACCGAAUGAAACUUAGUGUCGCAUGACACGAAGUUAAAAGGCGCUUUGGCGUCACCUAGAGAUGGAUCCGCGGUGCAUUAGUUAGUUGGUGGGGUAAAGGCCUACCAAGACAAUGAUGCAUAGCCGAGUUGAGAGACUGAUCGGCCACAUUGGGACUGAGACACGGCCCAAACUCCUACGGGAGGCUGCAGUAGGGAAUCUUCCACAAUGGGCGAAAGCCUGAUGGAGCAACGCCGCGUGUGUGAUGAAGGCUUUCGGGUCGUAAAGCACUGUUGUAUGGGAAGAACAGCUAGAAUAGGGAAUGAUUUUAGUUUGACGGUACCAUACCAGAAAGGGACGGCUAAAUACGUGCCAGCAGCCGCGGUAAUACGUAUGUCCCGAGCGUUAUCCGGAUUUAUUGGGCGUAAAGCGAGCGCAGACGGUUGAUUAAGUCUGAUGUGAAAGCCCGGAGCUCAACUCCGGAAUGGCAUUGGAAACUGGUUAACUUGAGUGCAGUAGAGGUAAGUGGAACUCCAUGUGUAGCGGUGGAAUGCGUAGAUAUAUGGAAGAACACCAGUGGCAAAGGCGGCUUACUGGACUGUAACUGACGUUGAGGCUCGAAAGUGUGGGUAGCAAACAGGAUUAGAUACCCUGGUAGUCCACACCGUAAACGAUGAACACUAGGUGUUAGGAGGUUUCCGCCUCUUAGUGCCGAAGCUAACGCAUUAAGUGUUCCGCCUGGAGAGUACGACCGCAAGGUUGAAACUCAAAGGAAUUGACGGGGACCCGCACAAGCGGUGGAGCAUGUGGUUUAAU